AACGAACGCUGGCGGCAGGCCUAACACAUGCAAGUCGAGCGCCCAGCAAUGGGAGCGGCAGACGGGUGAGUAACACGUGGGAACCUUCCCUAUAGUACGGAAUAGCCCAGGGAAACUUGGAGUAAUACCGCAUACGCCCGAGAGGGGAAAGAUUUAUCGCUAAUAGGAUGGGCCCGCGUAGGAUUAGCUAGUUGGUGAGGUAAUGGCUCACCAAGGCGACGAUCCUUAGCUGGUCUGAGAGGACGACCAGCCACACUGGGACUGAGACACGGCCCAGACUCCUACGGGAGGCAGCAGUGGGGAAUAUUGGACAAUAGGGGGCAACCCUGAUCCAGCAAUGCCGCGUGAGUGAUGAAGGCCUUAGGGUUGUAAAGCUCUUUUGCCAGGGAAGAUGAUGACUGUACCUGGAGAAUAAGCCCCGGCUAACUUCGUGCCAGCAGCCGCGGU
RNAcentral lists this ribosomal RNA (447 nucleotides) under uncultured bacterium. Its description in RNAcentral is "bacterial SSU rRNA". It matches the Rfam family "Bacterial small subunit ribosomal RNA", at positions 29 to 521 of the family's 1533-position model. The record is from RNAcentral.